CCAAUAGCGUAUAUUAAAGUUGUUGCAGUUAAAAAGCUCGUAGUUGAAUUUCGGGGUUAGCAGGUCGGUCGUGCCAUUGGUAUGAACUGGCCUCGCUGAUCCCUCCCUCUUGACGAACUGUGAUGCCAUUACUUUGGUGUCGCAGGGAAUCAGGACUGUUCCUUUGAAAAAAUUAGAGUGUUUAAAGCAGGCUCACGCUUGAAUACAUUAGCAUGGAAUAAUGAAAUAGGACGUUUGAUCCUAUUUUGUUGGUUUCUAGGAUUGACGUAAUGAUUAAUAGGGAUAGUUGGGGGCAUUAGUAUUCAAUUGUCAGAGGUGAAAUUCUUGGAUUUAUUGAAGACUAACUACUGCGAAAGCAUUUGCCAAGGAUGUUUUCAUUAAUCAAGAACGAAAGUUAGGGGAUCGAAGACGAUCAGAUACCGUCGUAGUCUUAACCAUAAACUAUGCCGACUAGGGAUCGGAUGAUGUUAAUUUUUUAAUGACUCAUUCGGCGCCUUACG
RNAcentral lists this ribosomal RNA (500 nucleotides) under uncultured Glomeromycotina. RNAcentral's name for it is "partial small subunit ribosomal RNA". It matches the Rfam family "Eukaryotic small subunit ribosomal RNA", at positions 591 to 1092 of the family's 1831-position model. The record is from RNAcentral. Lineage: Eukaryota; Fungi; Glomeromycota.